UGACACCAUAAAUGGCAGGAAUUCUCAAAAUGUAGGAUGUUCCCUUUACUGUGAAGGAGGAUCACAGUGGCCCUGUUGUUGAAGUGAGGAGAAAGCUGUAAGUCUAAAGCAUGAUCUUGGUUACCAUGCAGACCUAUGAUGAAAAUGAAGUUGACUUCACCAGCCCAAAGUACAGGAAUAUGAAGGUGAAACAACCCCUCAAGAAGAGACUUUGUUGGUUGUUGGGUAAAGUGGAAAAAUGAGAAAAUCCAAAGGGAGAAGGUUUAGGACACAGAAGGCUGAGAAAAGAAGCAGAAAGAGUUCAUAACAACUAGAAGUAUGGUGACAAAAAAGGCAAAGUAAGAGUCCCAGUCUGUACCAGCUACUGGAGGGCUCUGCAUUCAUGGAUACUCACAAUUAAAAGCAGCCUGAAUGACUUUCA
Long non-coding RNA from Passer domesticus (house sparrow), 421 nucleotides. RefSeq lists it as uncharacterized. NCBI's taxonomy places the organism in Eukaryota, Metazoa, Chordata, Aves, Passeriformes, Passeridae. The record is from RefSeq and is a predicted model, not a curated record. The transcript is spliced from 2 exons.